Molecule: transfer RNA, 77 nt
Filed under: Elizabethkingia anophelis
Lineage: Bacteria; Pseudomonadati; Bacteroidota; Flavobacteriia; Flavobacteriales; Weeksellaceae
Description: tRNA-Met
Rfam family: tRNA
About the family: Transfer RNA (tRNA) molecules are approximately 80 nucleotides in length.
Source: RNAcentral
GGAAAAGUAGCUCAGUUGGCCAGAGCAAAUCACUCAUAAUGAUUAGGCCGUAGGUUCGAAACCUGCCUUUUCCACAA